CAGUAGCCACGGUAAUACGAAGGGGGCUAGCGUUGUUCGGAUUUACUGGGCGUAAAGCGCACGUAGGCGGACUUUUAAGUCAGGGGUGAAAUCCCGGGGCUCAACCCCGGAACUGCCUUUGAUACUGGGAGUCUUGAGUUCGAGAGAGGUGAGUGGAAUUGCGAGUGUAGAGGUGAAAUUCGUAGAUAUUCGCAGGAACACCAGUGGCGAAGGCGGCUCACUGGCUCGAUACUGACGCUGAGGUGCGAAAGCGUGGGGAGCAAACAGGAUUAGAUACCCCGGUAGUCCCUGUCUCUUAUAA
RNAcentral lists this ribosomal RNA (301 nucleotides) under uncultured bacterium. RNAcentral describes it as "partial 16S ribosomal RNA". It matches the Rfam family "Bacterial small subunit ribosomal RNA", at positions 509 to 809 of the family's 1533-position model. The record is from RNAcentral.